GUAGGUGGCAAGCGUUGUCCGGAAUUAUUGGGGCGUAAAGCGCGCGCAGGCGGUUCUUUAAGUCUGAUGUGAAAGCCCGCGGGCUCAACCGUGGAGGGUCAUUGGAAACUGGAGAACUUGAGUACAGAAGAGGAAAGCGGAAUUCCACGUGUAGCGGUGAAAUGCGUAGAGAUGUGGAGGAACACCAGUGGCGAAGGCGGCUUUCUGGUCUGUAACUGACGCUGAGGCGCGAAAGCGUGGGGAGCAAACAGGAUUAGAUACCCUGGUAGUCCACGCCGUAAACGAUGAGUGCUAAGUGUUAGGGGGUUUCCGCCCCUUAGUGCUGCAGCUAACGCAUUAAGCACUCCGCCUGGGGAGUACGGCCGCAAAGGCUG
Molecule: ribosomal RNA, 374 nt
Filed under: uncultured organism
Description: partial 16S ribosomal RNA
Rfam family: Bacterial small subunit ribosomal RNA
Source: RNAcentral